AGGGUUUUAUAUGGGGAGCGAGAGAGAGAGAGAUCGAGAGCGAGAGUGCAGAGAUGAGGGAGGGCAACGUGGUGCUAUUCCCGUUCUUGGCGCACGGCCACAUGAACCCUUUCCUUGACCUCGCUCGCCUGCUCUCCGCCCGCUACCCUCACCUCACCCUCACCCUCGUCACGACCUCCGGCAACCUCGCUGGCUUCCGCCGCCUCCAGCUACCUACCUCCAUCCGCCUCGUCGCCCUCCCCUUCUGCCCCUCUGAUCACGGACUCCCUCCCGACGCCGAUACCUCCUUCGCUCUCCCGCCACACCUCGUAACCCACCUGAACCACGUUAUCGAGGGAUGCCUCCUCCCCUCCUUCCGCCGCCUCCUCUCCGACUUGAUCUCCGCUGCCUCCCCUCCCGUAAUCUGCGUCAUCGCCGACAUGUUCCUCGGCUGGACGGCCCCGGUGGCCAAAGAGCAUGGCG
This 462-nucleotide long non-coding RNA is filed under the name Musa acuminata (dwarf banana). RNAcentral's name for it is "long non-coding RNA (MACU_LNC002537)". Lineage: Eukaryota; Viridiplantae; Streptophyta; Magnoliopsida; Zingiberales; Musaceae. The record is from RNAcentral.